UCCAGACUCCUACGGGAGGCAGCAGUGGGGAAUAUUGCACAAUGGGGGAAACCCUGAUGCAGCGACGCCGCGUGAGUGAAGAAGUAUUUCGGUAUGUAAAGCUCUAUCAGCAGGGAAGAUAAUGACGGUACCUGACUAAGAAGCCCCGGCUAACUACGUGCCAGCAGCCGCGGUAAUACGUAGGGGGCAAGCGUUAUCCGGAUUUACUGGGUGUAAAGGGAGCGUAGACGGCGAAGCAAGUCUGAAGUGAAAACCCAGGGCUCAACCCUGGGACUGCUUUGGAAACUGUUUUGCUAGAGUGUCGGAGAGGUAAGUGGAAUUCCUAGUGUAGCGGUGAAAUGCGUAGAUAUUAGGAGGAACACCAGUGGCGAAGGCGGCUUACUGGACGAUAACUGACGUUGAGGCUCGAAAGCGUGGGGAGCAAACAGGAUUAGAUACCCCCGUAC
This 446-nucleotide ribosomal RNA is filed under the name uncultured bacterium. RNAcentral's name for it is "bacterial SSU rRNA". It matches the Rfam family "Bacterial small subunit ribosomal RNA", at positions 330 to 793 of the family's 1533-position model. The record is from RNAcentral.